AGGGAAUCUUCCGCAAUGGACGAAAGUCUGACGGAGCAACGCCGCGUGAGUGAUGAAGGUCUUCGGAUUGUAAAGCUCUGUCUUCUGGGACGAUAAUGACGGUACCAGAGGAGGAAGCCACGGCUAACUACGUGCCAGCAGCCGCGGUAAUACGUAGGUGGCGAGCGUUGUCCGGAUUUACUGGGCGUAAAGGAUGUGUAGGCGGAUAUUUAAGUGAGAUGUGAAAGACCCGGGCUUAACUUGGGCAGUGCAUUUCAAACUGGAUGUCUGGAGUGCAGGAGAGGAGAACGGAAUUCCUAGUGUAGCGGUGAAAUGCGUAGAGAUUAGGAAGAACACCAGUGGCGAAGGCGGUUCUCUGGACUGUAACUGACGCUGAGGCACGAAAGCGUGGGUAGCAAAC
RNAcentral lists this ribosomal RNA (400 nucleotides) under uncultured bacterium. RNAcentral's name for it is "bacterial SSU rRNA". It matches the Rfam family "Bacterial small subunit ribosomal RNA", at positions 356 to 773 of the family's 1533-position model. The record is from RNAcentral.